CAGCAGCCACGGUAAAACGAAGGGGGCUAGCGUUGUUCGGAUUUACUGGGCGUAAAGGGCGCGUAGGCGGACUGAUAAGUCAGGGGUGAAAUCCCAAGGCUCAACCUUGGAACUGCCUUUGAUACUGUUUGUCUUGAGUUCGAGAGAGGUAAGUGGAACUGCGAGUGUAGAGGUGAAAUUCGUAGAUAUUCGCAAGAACACCAGUGGCGAAGGCGGCUCACUGGCCCGAUACUGAUGCUGAGGCACGAAAGCGUGGGGAGCAAACAGGAUUAGAUACCCCCGUAGUCCCUGUCUCUUAUAU
Molecule: ribosomal RNA, 301 nt
Filed under: uncultured bacterium
Lineage: Bacteria
Description: partial 16S ribosomal RNA
Rfam family: Bacterial small subunit ribosomal RNA
Source: RNAcentral